Molecule: non-coding RNA, 763 nt
Organism: Procambarus clarkii (red swamp crayfish)
Lineage: Eukaryota; Metazoa; Arthropoda; Malacostraca; Decapoda; Cambaridae
Source: RefSeq, a predicted model, not a curated record
GCUACUUUAUUCCUUUGAGAUGUAUAUUUUUCUUGUCUCAAUAAAUAUACUUGAACUUGAACUUUAGAAUGUUUAGGGAUUUAAACAGAGGGGCUGUGUGUUGUAUGAAGACAGGGUUUGUUACAAAUUUUGAUAGCAAAUUUUUGCUGGGUGAUGAUGGGGUUGAGGUAGUUUGCAGUGGAUGAACCCCAUGCAUAGAUACCGUAUGUAAGAUAGGGAUAGAUUAGCGAGAAGUAUAAUGUAAGAAGAGCAGAGUAGGGAACAUAAUAUAUGCUUUUUGAGAGUAUACUAACAAUUUUAGAGAUUUUUGUGAAUAUGUUGUGAAUAUUGAAGUUUAGUCUAUUGACUAUGUAAAGAUCAAGAAACUUUAUUUUUUUUACUAUUAAUGUUAACAUUGUAUAUCUAACAGUGAAUUUGGUUUGAUGAUUUGGUUCCAAAUAAAAUGUAACAGGUAACUAUGUUUGGUGACCUGCUGUCAUGUCACCCUACAUGUCACAUGACAGCAGGCGACCUGCGUUAUGUCCUGUUAUUAUGUCACACUAAACCACACUUUGUUUAGUGUGAGCAUGUUGGUCGACAUCCAUGUGGGCCUUUGUUUAAAAUCGUUAUUUACAAUAUUAUUUGGAGUAUGUGGGUUUGGGUUUGAGCAGAUGAAGGUAGUAUCGUCAGCAAAUAGUGUAAGUAUAGGAGCAUGAGAGACAUUUGGCACGUCAUUGAGUUUGUCAUUACCCACUUUUUGUCUCGCUUGUUUACCUGUUAAAUA